This 274-nucleotide ribosomal RNA is filed under the name uncultured bacterium. RNAcentral describes it as "partial 16S ribosomal RNA". It matches the Rfam family "Bacterial small subunit ribosomal RNA", at positions 523 to 796 of the family's 1533-position model. The record is from RNAcentral.
AUACGGAGGGUGCAAGCGUUAUCCGGAUUCAUUGGGUUUAAAGGGUGCGCAGGCGGAAUGAUAAGUCAGUGGUGAAAUCCUACAGCUUAACUGUAGAACUGCCAUUGAUACUGUCAUUCUUGAGUACAUUUGAAGUGGGCGGAAUGUAUCAUGUAGCGGUGAAAUGCAUAGAUAUGAUACAGAACUCCGAUAGCGAAGGCAGCUCACUAAAUUGUAACUGACGCUCAGGCACGAAAGCGUGGGGAGCAAACAGGAUUAGAUACCCUAGUAGUCC